CAUUACUAAUCAACGAUGGAUGCAGAAGCAAUUACUAAAGAAGUCAGAAAACAGAAAAAGUCGAGUGUUUUAAACGAUGAAAGAGCAAAGUAAACGAAAGGUGUACCUUUUUUACUAUAUUCUCUCUCGUUCAUCCAUUUCAUGCUGCAACCGAAAAGACCAAAGGGAAUGAAUGGGUGUGUUUUAAUACAUGACGUAACGCCAAGUAUUUAGAGAUUGCUUGUAAAUUCAUACGUACUACAAAUACUCGGUAGAUUCUAACUCCCGAAUGAAAGACUUUGUAUCUAUCUUCUUAAUGGCACAUGAAUAUAAUUAUACAUGGAUUUAUACUAACGUUAAACAAAUAUUAAGUGGACCAUGGUUCCCACUAACAUAUCGUACAUGAAAAAUCAUAUUCUCAAUAGACGUACUUUGUAUGUAAUGAGGCAGGAGAACCCACCAACCCAUGAAGUGGAAUAAUAUGUAGAUAUGCAAAAGUAUUUCCCACAAAAGUAAACUAAAAGAAGUUCGAAGCUUAAAGAUACCACUUGUCUAAUCUUCAAGAAGAAUCAAAACAUCUUUACAAGUUGAAGAUAAAUCAAAGUUAUCCAUAAUUUGUUUCUCUACAAAAGCCUCGAUCUCAUAUCUCUCACAAGUCACAACACAUAAGAAGAGAAAGAGAACGAGAGAAAAUGAUGUCGGACCAAAGUUCUGUUCACUUGGAUGUCAAAGACAACCAUGUAAUAUCCCUAACCGUCCUUACAUACGUAGCUUCAUAUAUUUUGUCAAUAUGUAAAUGAAUAUUGCUAAUGCAGGUGGUUAUGAAGAAUGGUAUAGUCGAAGUGACCAUAUCAAAACCAGAUGGUUUUGUCACUGGAAUCUCUUACCAUGGUGUCAACAAUCUACUAGAAAGUCAUAAUGAAGACUAUGAUCGAGGGUAUAUGUAGAAUUGAAUUUAUGUAUUUACAUUAAUUAUAUGUACAUGAAUCAAUCUUAUUACCUCUACAAUCAUAUGUAUUGUUUUGACCAAACACAGUUACUGGGACCUUGUUUGGAGCGAGUAUGGAACGCCUGGAACCACAGGAAACUCCGAGCGGUAUGUAUGCAUCAAUCAAAGCAAAUAUUUCUUGAUAUAAAUUUUUACAUGUAUUGUCAUAAAUGUGACCGAGGCAGGAUCAAAGGCACAAGUUUUCAAGUAGUACUGGAAAAUGAGGAACUGGUAGAGAUAUCCUUCACAAGGAAAUGGGAUUCUUCUCUCAAAGACCAUAUUGCUCCCAUUAAUGUCGACAAGAGGUAUCUCAUUUAUAUCUGUGGCAGUGCUAUAGAUAUUGAUUUGGAUUUGCAUAACUCAGGUUCAUAAUGCGUAAAGAUGUUACUGGAUUCUACUCAUACGGAAUAUUCGAGCAUCUAGCUGAAUGGCCAGCUUUUAACUUGCCUCAGACAAGGAUUGUUUACAAGCUUCGUAAAGACAAGUAAGCAACUAAUGUUUCAAAGAUAGUUCACGAUCAAUAUUAUUAUUAACAUCAAUAUCGUCACUAUCAUUAAUAUCAAUAUCAUUAAUGAAAAGACCUUUCAGCUUGUUAUCCAAAAAAUUGUUAAGAAAUACUGUAAUAAAAGGAACAUAGGAGUUUGUAACUAGGUAUUUGAUCAAAUAGAAUCGUCUGGUUCCAAAAAAACUCCCUGGAGAUGAUAUUAGUGAAUUUAUAAGUGUUGUUAUGUCAGGUUUCGAUACAUGGCAGUUGCUGAUAACAGGCAGAGAAAAAUGCCGCUUCCAGAAGAUAGAUUGGGUAAAAGAGGAAGACCAUUGGCUUAUCCUGAAGCUGUUCUUCUUGUUCAUCCUGUUGAAGAAGAGUUCAAAGGAGAGGUUGAUGACAAGUAUGAGUAUUCAUGUGAGAACAAAGAUCUUAAAGUGCAUGGGUGGAUCUCGCAUAACCUUGAUUUGGGUUGCUGGCAAAUCAUUCCUAGCAAUGAGUUUAGAUCAGGUGGCUUGGUGAAACAGAACCUUACUUCUCAUGUUGGUCCAAUCAGUCUCGCUGUAUGUUCUUUUUUCUUUCUUCCUCCUGAAAACAUGUUGGAACCAAUGGGUUCUUACUUGGCCAUUUGAAACACAAAUGAUUGUUGUUCAUACUCAGAUGUUUAUAAGUGCUCAUUAUGCGGGUGAGGACAUGGUGAUGAAGGUAAAAGCAGGGGAGUCAUGGAAGAAAGUGUUUGGUCCUGUUUUUACUUACCUUAAUUGUUUGCCUGACCAAACCUCUGAUCCUCUUUCACUAUGGCAAGACGCUAAAAGCCAGGUCUAUUCAUCAACUUUGGUGCAUAUUAAAAAAUUUAUAUGAAAAGAUGAAACCUAACCUUAGAGGAGAUGGUGUUUCAUUAGAUGUUAAUUGAAGUCCAAAGCUGGCCUUACGGUUUCCCCGCUUCAGAAGACUAUGCAUUGUCUGAUAAGCGUGGUUGCAUCAAUGGUAGAUUACUAGUACGAGACAAGUAAGCACUCACAUUCCACAAUCACCACAUAAUUUGCUUUUCUUCAUAAUAUUAACAAUCAUUUACUCUUUUUUCCUCUACUUAUGCGUUUUUGAUUCCUUCAGGUCCCUUAGUGAUGAACUUUUACCAGCGAAUGGUGCUUUCAUAGGUUUGGCUCCACCAGGAGAGGUUGGAUCUUGGCAAACAGAAUCUAAAGUGAGCUUGAACAUAUUGUCUUCUUGGACCAUAUAAUAUAAUAUAAUAUGUAGUCAAGCAAUUAGUGAACUUAUGUUUAUAUCAAUUUUCUUAUAUACAUAGGGAUAUCAGUUCUGGACAGAAGCAGAUGCAGAUGGUUAUUUCACCAUAAAUAAUAUCCGAGAAGGUGAAUAUAAUCUCAAUGCUUAUGUGACAGGAUGGAUUGGAGACUAUCAAUACGAAGAACUGAUUACCAUCACUGCAGGUUAACUUCUUUUUUUUUAAUAAUUAAACUUACAUUGUAAUCAAGAUAAUAUAUUACUCUGUGUCAAAACUUGCAUGCAUGUUGACUUAACAUGAUUCACACUCUGCACCUAAAACCAGGCUGCGACAUUGACAUUAGCAGUAUCGUGUAUGAACCGCCACGAGAUGGGCCAACGGUGUGGGAAAUAGGAAUCCCUGACCGGUCGGCAGCUGAGUUCUUUGUUCCAGACCCAAAUCCCAAAUACAUCAAUAAGCUAUAUAUUGGUCAUCCUGACAGGUAUAUAUACAACUUUAAUGCUUUGAUUUGCAUUUACAACUUGAUUAAAAUGAUAACAUAAUAAAGUUUAUAGGUUCAUCUAACAAAUAAAUGCAUGGAAUGUAAAAGCAAACACAAACAAAAAGUAGAGACCUAAGUUAAGUAUGGUUGUACUCAUGCAGGUUUUUUUUUUUUUUUUGAUCAAAUACUCAUGCAGGUUUAGGCAAUACGGGCUAUGGGAAAGAUACACAGAACUAUAUCCUAAGGAAGAUCUGAUGUUCACCAUUGGCGUCAGUGAUUACCAAAAGGAUUGGUUCUUUGCACACGUUACUAGGUAAUGCUUAUAUUCUAUUUUUUUUUUCAGCUACAAAAACAACAACAAAGAGGACAUGGUUUUCUUGUUAUAUAUAUAUAUAUAUAUAUAUAUUUAAAAUACAUAAAAAAAAUUACAAACGAUUGUAGAAUAGUUGAUUGUAAAAUCAUAACACUUACUAUAAUGGUUCAUAAAGGAAAGUCAUGUUGCCAAAGACAAAAUUACAAUGUUGCAAUUAAGGUUUUUGUGGAAGAUGGGGAUGUGAGAUCCGGUUAAAUGGUUUUACAAUAAGUAGAAACAAUCGAGGUAAGAAAUUUCGUUGAGAUAGCAGGGAACCGGAGAAAAAUACUAUUCUUUGAGAUUCAUAGGAGUGAGUGAUGGACCUGCAGGUAAUAACGAGCUCGACCAAUGGAUCGCAACUGGUCUUCUCAGUAAUCAUCAUUUACCGCUUUAACGAUAGUGGUCUUUUCGGUACUUAAUUCAAGUGUGAGAUCCGACACCAACAAAAGCGGUUCUCCAUAUUAGGUUAAAGUUAUAGUUUCUAAUUUUAUUUGUUAUGAAGUAUUUUUUAAAAUGUCGUCCUAAAGUUAAAUCCGUGAAAAAUUUACAGAACGGUUAGUAUCAUAUUAAGAGAAGAAAUUAAACAUCUUGUGACGGACGUGUGAGUUGUGACUUUAUAUAGUACGUACUACGUAGAACGUUUUGUAUGAAAAAAAACAUCUAGUCCGUCACAACAAAAUGACUAGUUAGUUAGACCCAAAAACUAAACCUCGAUGAGUGAACGUGCUCAUGAAACAGUCAUUACUCAAGUAUGGUUGUGCACAAUCACAUCGACGAUAGAAUAUGUCUGGUUAGAACGGGAUGGUUGCGAAGUACGCCAUGAAAGUGGAUAGUAUGCACCAACAAUGACUCCAAAAUGAGCAAACUGGUCGACCGCAUUCGUACAGUUUAUAGGUUUGUGUGUUGGCUACUUUCCUCAUUCACAUGGAAUGACCUUCCUGAGAAGAUAACUCGUUGAAUAUAUUAUAAACUUAUGUAAUGCAAAACAUCAUGAUAUAUGAACUAUUAUAUAUGUAUAUUGUAUAACCUUUCCGUGCUUUUUCUUAGAUUUAUAUCAAAUUUUCAGAUUUCUGAAAUCAUGGUUUAAAAUUUUAAAAUCGGCCAAAAGAAAGUAUUAAUCAAUAUCUAAAGUUUCUAGAACGUAUAUAUAUGUGGUCCAACAAAGAAGACAAACCAGCAAAUCUGUAUUAGUUUAUAGAAUACAUCAAAAAUAUGUAAUGGAAAAAUAGAAUAUGGUACACACGAGAGAAAAAGAAAGUAAGGAGUAAAAAAAUAGGAGGCUGACAGAUCCGGAAGGAGCUAGAAAAGAAACGUGAGCCAAUUUUGUAUUCAUUAAAGGAGACAACUAAUUAAAGCUUUUAACUGUGUUUUUUUGGGUCUAUAUGGUCAACUUGGAGCUGGACAUGUGUCGAUUCCUCUUUUUCUUCUUGCUUCUCGUUUCUUCUUUUUCUUUUGUGUUAAGCUUUUUAGGUUCACAUUAAAAAUUAAAAUUCACUGUCAGCUAAGUCUUGCCUCCAGUAGGUUUGGCCGACACACCCUAACAAUUUUAAUAUAUUUCAGGUAAUUUAUUUACUAAACUUUCUCUUUAAACUAAUUUAGGGUGUUGGAUGCUAUAUAUUUGUAUAUUUUGAUCUUGAUUUACUUGCAACUUGAAGUUAUGACGGUGAUGUAACUUAACAAUUUUUACUGAUUUUGUAAAGAUCAAAAUUUUACUACAUGCAAAAACGUUAAUAAGUAAAAGAAAAAACAAAACUAAAAUUAUACAGUUUAUUGAAUAAAUUAGCUAAAACAAUUAUCCAAAAUAGCUACGUUAAUACAUAUCAAUUUCAGGUUUGAUCAUAUGGUAUUUUAUGAAUGUACAUUUUAGUUAUUCGAUAAAUAUGUAAUUGUAGUUUCAAUUUGAAAAGAUUAUUAGGAAAAAGAAAUAUUUUGUAGUUAGUAAAGUUAUUUCCAACUAGUAUAUUCCAAAGGAUAUCGGAGCCGAGCGUAGCCACUGGUCAAGUCCAAGUGUAAAUAACUCGAGCCGAAGAAACUGGCCGAUGAUUUGUUUUAUAUAUAUAUAUGAAGCCGCAUAAGCUACAGCUUUAUGCCAGAAUUCGAAACCCUACAUGUCUCACUCAAUUCAAUUGUAAAAUUGAAAUCUGAUUAACGCACUAAUCUAUAAUUAAGUUAAAAAUUAAUCUCAUUCUUCCUUGCAUUACUUAUAUAAAACCCUCUCUCGCCUCCUCCUUAGUAUUCAAUCUCCACACUCUCUUCUUUUCUUAGCUCUCGCUCAUAUCUCUCUCUAUGUUUUGCCCUAGUUAACUUGUUUUCUUCUUCUUUUUCUCAAUCCGCUUCACAUCAAUGCAUCCUCAUGAUUCAUGUGCUUUUCCGAUUAAGUUUUCUCUGGGAUCUCGAAGAAUUGCCAAUUUCUUAAAUAUGUUAAAGCAGACGAGUCGCUUCGAUUACUUCAUUUGGUUAGUCUGAUUCUGUUUAUAUAGUUUCUUAACUUGCAAUUUGUUUUAUGAAAUGUUUUGUGUUGUUUGUUAGAUCUCUCCAUAUUUAUAUAUUAGUUUGAGAAGUCAGAUGUUUGCAUGUGCAGAUUAAUGCUCAUGGAUGAGAGGUUUGUCAACCUUUAAUGGAUCUGUCUCCCCUUCUCAGGUUUGGGUUCUCAUCUCCAUUUUUAUUUGUUAGAUGCAUAGUGUGUGUUAUAUAGAAUGUCUCAGCCUUGAUCGUACUUCUGUUGUGUUUUUUCUUUUGUUACUUCCGUUAAGAUGCGUACUGUCUGAUUGUCUAAUUACUCAGUGUCUAUGUUCCUUUCACUAAUGAACAGCUUAAUAGUGGUUAAUUAGGCGCAUAAAAUAAAAGCAAAUUAUUUUGUCUCUUGACCAGAGAAACUGAUCAAAACUUAGAAAUGAAAUUGACUCUCAUGAUGUGUUUUAUUCAUUUUCUCGCAUCUUUUUUAUGUAUACCUAAAAAAGAGUUUGAAAGCUUAGAUUCUCACUUUAAGGUUAAAAAGGUGUCUGUACGCAAAUUACAUCGUAUGUACGAAGUACGAACACAUCUUUUUCCUUCCUUUUGCAAAUUAACGCUGCAUCACCCACUAGAGAGUUCUGAUGUUUAUUUCUGAUUGUAAUGUUCUUUUUUCCGACUUCAUGGACUGUACUAAGUUGAACUCUCACUAUACCUCUAUUUGGAAGCUAUUUUCAGAAUUAAAGCUUGAUCUUUGUGUUCCUUGUCAAUAAACGUUGAUGUCUAAAUAUUAUAUUUUAGACAACUAUAUAUAUGAUAAGUUAAUAGUCCAAAGCAAUCCAAAAAAAAAGCUCGAGGGUGAUAGUUGAAAACACCUUAGGAACCACUUUUAGACAGCAAUAUAGAAUAGUUUCAUUUGUGUUCAUAAGCCUCUAGAUGUUCAAAAAUAAAUUGUUAUUUCUUUGAGAAAGCAGUGGCUUGAGUAGAAACUCCAUUAAGUUUGUAAUUAGGUUGGGUUCUUAGAUUAAAAAGGAAGUGAAUGGAGCUUGUUACACUGGAAAGAAACUAAGAAUUCUGUUGAUUAGCGACGAGCAAUUCAAUUUUGUGCAUAAUUCAGGUUUAUGUCCACAUAUCUUUGUAACAUGAAUUUGAAUCUAAAAAUUCAUCUGCCUUUGUGUAUGCAGUGGUAAACUGCUGAGUUGAGAUACGAUUCCGAUGAUGGUUUUACUAUGAGGCUGCCGUGGUUAACUAAACCAGAGACUGACAGGUUCGCUCGAGUUGUCUCUCAUGUCUAGACCAUUUGUGAGAAGGGAUUUUCUGUUUGCAUCAUUCACUCCCACCAAUCUCUAAAUAUGCAAUAAGUAUUAUUCUCACUUAAGAAAGAAACAAUCCUAUUAUUUGAGAUGCUUCUACAGCUUGGAAUAUGUUGUUUCGUUCUUUAUAUUGCUACCAAAACGUUAAGAAACCAGGUGAACAUUUCCCUUGAAAGGUCUAGCCUGUAGGUCAUAGUCAUUAGACCCACCUCUCACUUCUCGAUUAAAAUGUGUUAUUUCUUCCAUCAAAAUCUGAUCCUUGAGGAGUUAGGUACAUAAGUAAGUGCACAGAGUGAACACAUAACUUGAUAAAGUCAUUUACACUUUGGACAUUUUCCCAAGAGAUGCCAAACUUCUCAAUGGAUUUUGAGUUUUUCAAUGAUAGCUAAAAUUUGUAUCUAGCACUACUUAUAGCUACACUAGUAUACUUGAUAAUAUUUGGGGGGAGUGGGGGAGAUGCCGUGUUAUUAUUCCCUUCUCAUCGAUGGUCUAGAUGUGUGAGGUGACUCUCAUGGAGGUAAAGAGAAAUGGUGAUUUAUAGGAAAGCAUCCACCACAAUGGUAUUAUCCUAAAAGGGUUAGAAAAUUUUCAGCUUUUGGAAUUAUUGUUUUGUAUUGCUAGAUUUUGGACCAGUGGUCUGCUAAUGCAACACAUGUGAUCCUUUCGAGUAUAGUUGUGUAAGCUUUAUUUUUCAGGUUGAGUACAACAGCAUGCCAUUAGUCCAUUACUAAUCAACGAUGGAUGCAGAAGCAAUUACUAAAGAAGUCAGAAAACAGAAAAAGUCGAGUGUUUUAAACGAUGAAAGAGCAAAGUAAACGAAAGGUGUACCUUUUUUACUAUAUUCUCUCUCGUUCAUCCAUUUCAUGCUGCAACCGAAAAGACCAAAGGGAAUGAAUGGGUGUGUUUUAAUACAUGACGUAACGCCAAGUAUUUAG
RNAcentral lists this long non-coding RNA (8226 nucleotides) under Brassica napus (rape). RNAcentral's name for it is "long non-coding RNA (BNAP_LNC009530)". The stretch from base 7251 to 7809 matches the Rfam family "MIR824 microRNA precursor family". Lineage: Eukaryota; Viridiplantae; Streptophyta; Magnoliopsida; Brassicales; Brassicaceae. The record is from RNAcentral.